RNAcentral lists this ribosomal RNA (497 nucleotides) under uncultured bacterium. Its description in RNAcentral is "partial 16S ribosomal RNA". It matches the Rfam family "Bacterial small subunit ribosomal RNA", at positions 28 to 507 of the family's 1533-position model. The record is from RNAcentral.
GAUGAACGCUGGCGGCGUGCCUAAUACAUGCAAGUCGAGCGAACAGACGAGGAGCUUGCUCCUCUGACGUUAGCGGCUGACGGGUGAGUAACACGUGCAUAACCUACCUAUAUUACUGGGAUAACUUCGGGAAACCGGAUCUAAUACCAGAUAAUAUGUUCAACCGCAUGGUUCAAUAGUGAAACACGGUUUUCCUGUCACUUUUAGAUGAUUCCGCGCCGCAUUAGCUAGUUGGUAAGGUAACGGCUUACCAAGGCAACGAUGCGUAGCCGAUCUGAGAGGGUGAUCAGCCACACUGGAACUGAGACACGGUCCAGACUCCUACGGGAGGCAGCAGUAGGGAAUCUUCCGCAAUGGGCGAAAGCCUGACGGAGCCACGCCGCGUGAGUGAUGAAGGUCUUCGGAUCGUAAAGCUCUGUUAUUAGGAAAGAACAAAUGUGUAAGUAACUAUGCACGUCUUGACGGUACCUAAUCAGAAAGCCACGGCUAACUACGUG